GACGAACGCUGGCGGCGUGCUUAACACAUGCAAGUCGAACGGAAAGGCCCCAGCUUGCUGGAGUGCUCGAGUGGCGAACGGGUGAGUAACACGUGGGCAAUCUGCCCUGCACUCUGGGAUAAGCCUGGGAAACUGGGUCUAAUACCGGAUAGGACCUUUCUCCUCAUGGGGUUUGGUGGAAAGUUUUUCGGUGCAGGAUGAGCCCGCGGCCUAUCAGCUUGUUGGUGGGGUAAUGGCCUACCAAGGCGACGACGGGUAGCCGGCCUGAGAGGGUGAUCGGCCACAUUGGGACUGAGAUACGGCCCAGACUCCUACGGGAGGCAGCAGUGGGGAAUAUUGCACAAUGGGCGGAAGCCUGAUGCAGCGACGCCGCGUGAGGGAUGACGGCCUUCGGGUUGUAAACCUCUUUCAGUAGGGACGAAGCGCAAGUGACGGUACCUGCAGAAGAAGCACCGGCUAACUACGUG
RNAcentral lists this ribosomal RNA (467 nucleotides) under uncultured bacterium. Its description in RNAcentral is "partial 16S ribosomal RNA". It matches the Rfam family "Bacterial small subunit ribosomal RNA", at positions 28 to 507 of the family's 1533-position model. The record is from RNAcentral.